AUUGAACGCUGGCGGCAUGCCUUACACAUGCAAGUCGAACGGCAGCGGACCUUCGGGUGCCGGCGAGUGGCGAACGGGUGAGUAAUAUAUCGGAACGUACCUUUCAGUGGGGGAUAACGUAGCGAAAGUUACGCUAAUACCGCAUAUUCUGUGAGCAGGAAAGCAGGGGAUCGCAAGACCUUGCGCUGAUUGAGCGGCCGAUAUCAGAUUAGCUAGUUGGUGAGGUAGAGGCUCACCAAGGCGACGAUCUGUAGCGGGUCUGAGAGGAUGAUCCGCCACACUGGAACUGAGACACGGUCCAGACUCCUACGGGAGGCAGCAGUGGGGAAUUUUGGACAAUGGGCGCAAGCCUGAUCCAGCCAUGCCGCGUGAGUGAAGAAGGCCUCGGUUGUAAGC
RNAcentral lists this ribosomal RNA (396 nucleotides) under uncultured bacterium. RNAcentral's name for it is "bacterial SSU rRNA". It matches the Rfam family "Bacterial small subunit ribosomal RNA", at positions 30 to 431 of the family's 1533-position model. The record is from RNAcentral.